Molecule: ribosomal RNA, 1477 nt
Filed under: uncultured bacterium
Lineage: Bacteria
Description: bacterial SSU rRNA
Rfam family: Bacterial small subunit ribosomal RNA
Source: RNAcentral
GAUUGAACGCUGGCGGCAGGCCUAACACAUGCAAGUCGAGCGGUAGCACAGAGAGCUUGCUCUCGGGUGACGAGCGGCGGACGGGUGAGUAAUGUCUGGGAAACUGCCUGAUGGAGGGGGAUAACUACUGGAAACGGUAGCUAAUACCGCAUAACGUCGCAAGACCAAAGUGGGGGACCUUCGGGCCUCAUGCCAUCAGAUGUGCCCAGAUGGGAUUAGCUAGUAGGUGGGGUAAUGGCUCACCUAGGCGACGAUCCCUAGCUGGUCUGAGAGGAUGACCAGCCACACUGGAACUGAGACACGGUCCAGACUCCUACGGGAGGCAGCAGUGGGGAAUAUUGCACAAUGGGCGCAAGCCUGAUGCAGCCAUGCCGCGUGUGUGAAGAAGGCCUUCGGGUUGUAAAGCACUUUCAGCGGGGAGGAAGGCGAUAAGGUUAAUAACCUUGUCGAUUGACGUUACCCGCAGAAGAAGCACCGGCUAACUCCGUGCCAGCAGCCGCGGUAAUACGGAGGGUGCAAGCGUUAAUCGGAAUUACUGGGCGUAAAGCGCACGCAGGCGGUCUGUCAAGUCGGAUGUGAAAUCCCCGGGCUUAACCUGGGAACUGCAUUCGAAACUGGCAGGCUAGAGUCUUGUAGAGGGGGGUAGAAUUCCAGGUGUAGCGGUGAAAUGCGUAGAGAUCUGGAGGAAUACCGGUGGCGAAGGCGGCCCCCUGGACAAAGACUGACGCUCAGGUGCGAAAGCGUGGGGAGCAAACAGGAUUAGAUACCCUGGUAGUCCACGCCGUAAACGAUGUCGAUUUGGAGGUUGUGCCCUUGAGGCGUGGCUUCCGGAGCUAACGCGUUAAAUCGACCGCCUGGGGAGUACGGCCGCAAGGUUAAAACUCAAAUGAAUUGACGGGGGCCCGCACAAGCGGUGGAGCAUGUGGUUUAAUUCGAUGCAACGCGAAGAACCUUACCUGGUCUUGACAUCCACAGAACUUUCCAGAGAUGGAUUGGUGCCUUCGGGAACUGUGAGACAGGUGCUGCAUGGCUGUCGUCAGCUCGUGUUGUGAAAUGUUGGGUUAAGUCCCGCAACGAGCGCAACCCUUAUCCUUUGUUGCCAGCGGUCCGGCCGGGAACUCAAAGGAGACUGCCAGUGAUAAACUGGAGGAAGGUGGGGAUGACGUCAGGUCAUCAUGGCCCUUACGACCAGGGCUACACACGUGCUACAAUGGCAUAUACAAAGAGAAGCGACCUCGCGAGAGCAAGCGGACCUCAUAAAGUAUGUCGUAGUCCGGAUUGGAGUCUGCAACUCGACUCCAUGAAGUCGGAAUCGCUAGUAAUCGUAGAUCAGAAUGCUACGGUGAAUACGUUCCCGGGCCUUGUACACACCGCCCGUCACACCAUGGGAGUGGGUUGCAAAAGAAGUAGGUAGCUUAACCUUCGGGAGGGCGCUUACCACUUUGUGAUUCAUGACUGGGGUGAAGUCGUAACAAGG